CGAGUCGGCCGGGUGAUCGCGGCAGCAGCUGAGGAAAGUCCGGACUCCACAGGGCAGCGUGGUGGGUAACGCCCACCCGGGGUGACCCGCGGGACAGUGCCACAGAGAACAGACCGCCGCCGGCGACGGCGGUAAGGGUGAAACGGCGGUGUAAGAGACCACCAGCACCCCAGGCGACUGGGGUGGCUCGGCAAACCCCACCCGGAGCAAGACCAAGAAGGGCCCGGUCCUCGGAUCGGGCCCGCGGACGCCGCUCGAGCGUUGCCCGCGCGAGGCGUCCGGGUAGGUCGCACGCCCUCGGGCGAAGGCCGCCGGCAACGGCGGUCGCAGAUGGAUGAUCACCGGCCCCUCGGGGUCACAGAAUCCGGCUUACAGGCCGACUCGUCCU
This 388-nucleotide RNase P RNA is filed under the name Micropruina sp. Its description in RNAcentral is "RNase P RNA component class A". It matches the Rfam family "Bacterial RNase P class A". Rfam says of the family: Ribonuclease P (RNase P) is a ubiquitous endoribonuclease, found in archaea, bacteria and eukarya as well as chloroplasts and mitochondria. Its best characterised activity is the generation of mature 5'-ends of tRNAs by cleaving the 5'-leader elements of precursor-tRNAs. The record is from RNAcentral. Lineage: Bacteria; Bacillati; Actinomycetota; Actinomycetes; Propionibacteriales; Nocardioidaceae.